AGGGAGGAAGGCCAGGUAUUUCCUGAACGUCAUGGAACACGAGGCCCAGCAACCAAAUUAUACACCGGGUAAUUAUAGCUUCCAGCCUCAUGUCAGGAGUCCCCUGCUCAACAGCGUGCUCCUGGUGAUACUGCCACCCGUAACGGGUACUGGCUUUGCUAACAUCCUGACGAGACGUCGGGGAGAGACGGGAAGUGGCAGAGAUGGGAUCUCACUGUGUUGCCCACGCUGGUUUCAAACUCCUAGCCUCAAGCAAUCCUCCUGCCUCAGCCUCCUGAAGCCCUGGGAUUACAAGCAUAAGCCACCGCCCCCGGCCAGAUCACAUGAUUCUUUACAUCUCUGCUGACAGAUUUCAUCACUGGUGCUGAGUGCAGGGAGUCCCGCAGCCACUUACACGUGUUGCAUUGCCGGGCAAUACAGGCCUGUGUGACUUGCUAUUCUAUGGCUGGGCUUCUGCCUGCAGAUGCCUGGUUUCUCCACUGCCAAGGCUCAUGGUCUGACACAUCCAGGAAAUUCAACAGUGAGGAUGCAAUGACAAUGAGUCGUGCAUGAGGGUUCCCGGGCCUCGCUCCCCUGCCCAUCAGAGAAGGCUUGGCAUCUCAGCUGACUCGCCCUCUGCUGCCCUGGGAAGGGGGCCGCCAUGGUCAGAAUGCCUCUCUGCUUACUUGGGCUAUGGCUGGGGAGGAGUUCUUCAGGAAAUCUUGAGGAGAGAGGUGCUGGAGUAUGAGGACAAUAGGUGGAAAGGGAAGGAAAUUUAAGGAAGUAUUUCUGUGGGCCAUGUGUCUCUGUUUCAGCAUUUAAGAACGCAUAUAAGGAACUUCAGUUAUUUUGCAAUGACUCUUGUUGCUGGGUGGUGAUUCUUGACUCCACCAUUGGUUGAGUCUUGACUGCAGGCAUCGCAGCUUCAGGGGGAUUACGGAACACCAGCGCACAGAAGAAGUACACGGUUGGGCAAGAUAGAGGAGGAAAGGACUCUACCUCAUGGCUUGUCCAGAAGAGGGCAGGGCCACCCCUGCAGCCAGGCCUCCCGGGCCCUGGAGGUAGGAGGGGGACGAUGGCCUCUAAGAGCACUCUGAGACCAGGAGCCUGUUCUCUCGGGCCUGAAGGCUUCGCUUCCACUGUUCUACGCUGCCGCCCUGGCCUGGCCACCUCCCCUCCACUGUGUGGCUGGCUUUUCUCUGCCUUCUGCUGCCUGAUGGGAUCUCCCACUCACCUCCACGAGGAUCUGAGAGGAAAGGGUGCUGAGGAGAGGAGCGUGGAGUGGGCAGGCUCUUGAUGCCAAGCCAAGAAUCUGCAUGGCUCAUUUGAAACUUCGCAGUGCCCUUUAUCUCUUGUUCUCUUUUAUGUAUAAGCUCGUCUUUCUCCCAUACAGUUGUAAACCCCAAAGGGUAGGGACUGUAUUCGGUUCCUUAUUUAUAUCCUGUAAGACAGUGACUCUCAAACUCAUCAGAAUCACCUGGGGAGUUUUAAAAACUUGAUUCCUCCAGAAACCAUAAAGACCAAAGAUUUAAAAAUAUCACCAUAUUAAAACAGAAUGAAGCAAAAUCCUUCUGUAAAGCUAAACAAACAAACAAACUCAUGAAUCAGUCAGAAGAAAUUAUAAACAAGGGGAAAACAGUAUUUGGAAUAUAGAUGGAAGACACACUAAUUUCUUUAAUUUGCAACAAAUGUCUAUAAAUAAGAAAUAUACAAACAACUCAAUAAAUGCUGGGCCAGGAAUCUGAACUGGCAGAACAUGGAAAAGAAAUACCAGUGACCAAGAAACAUAUGAAGAGCUGCUCAUCCUUCCUCAGAAAUAAAGAGACGCAAAUCAGAACAAUGCCAGACCACUUUUCAUGAAUCUGAUUAGCAAAAAUUAUAAAGUUUCAUGAUGCCCAUUGCUGAUGAGAGUAUGGAAGCAGAUGCCAGUGAAUGCAAACUUGGUGGAUUUUGGCACCUGUGUGACAAGGUGGGGCGGUGGUUCUCACACCUGCAUGAGCUUCUGAAUCACAUGAUGAACUUUUAAAAACAUAGAUUCUCUGCGCCCCCAUCCCAUACUGCCAUAAGGCACCCGCGUGUAACUAAGGGCACAAUUUGUGAAGUUCGAAAUGGUAAUAGAGACCAGACUAGUAAAUUUCAACUAAAGGAAUUUUGUCAACAUACAUCAACAUUUUUAAAACAUGAGUAACCUUUGACCCAGCAAUUCUACUGAUGGGAGCUGAUUCUGAAAUUUCCCACAGAAGAGUAUCAACGUCGGCAAGAAUGGAUGCCCACAGCAGCAUUAUUUGUAUAGCAAACAACCUCAAUGUCCAUCAAUAGGAACCUGGAUAAAUAAACUGUGGCACACUCUUAGAUCUUUUAAAGAGAUUUAGUAGGAACUCCAUUUGCUGAUAUAGAGCAGUCUCUGAGUUAUGUUGUGCAAUGAAAAAAUCAAGCAGCAGAGCAGUAUAAAUGGUGUAAUCCAUUUUCCACAUAACUUUUAAAAUGACACACCAUAUACUUUGGUAAAUGCACAAAUUCUUUUUCAAUGGAAAAUCUACAAGAAGCUGAUAACAGUGGCAACUUUGAGGGAAGGAUGAGAAGAGAGGUUCUUACCUUUCAUUCAGUACUGCUUGAUUUUCCUACUUCCUACUUUGUGCAUUGAUUAGUUUUAGUGGAGAACUUCAGUAAGUGUCAUCUGAAAGGUGGAGUUAUGGGACAAUUUUGGUUUCUCCUUUAGAGUUUUCUGUAAAGGAUAUUCAAUAAUUGAAGAUUCUCAGGCCAUAUACCAGAUACACCAAGUUUGGGUGGAGAUGCUGGCAUGGGACUCUAGAAAUCAGCUUGUCGUGUGAUUCUGCUCAUCAGUCAGGUUUGAGACUCACUGCAGAAGAUUCUGGAAGAAAAAUGCUCUCUUCUCUAGCUCAGGGGUUAUGAGGAUGAGAGGGUGGGGUGGCUGCAGCCCUUUUGUUUCCAUGAAAGGAGAACCUGAAUGACCUUGUGCAACCUAAGGUCAAAGAAAUGCAUGGCUGGCAAGUAAACCACAGAGAGGAACUUGUCCGCUGGUACAUCAGUAGGCCACAGAAUCAUGCCUUUCCCGAAGAAGGACGUCCUGUGUCUAGACUUUUCAGUUAUGAAGCCAAUACGUCCUCUUUGUUGUUUAAUGCAGCUUGAGUUAGGUCUUUUGUCACAUGCAAUAUUAAGAAUCCUAACUGAUAGACCUCCACUGAGACAAGCUGAGUAUGUCUUUAUCUCUUGCAGACUGAAAUUGCCUAAUUUAUAAAGUAUUUCAUGAUGUUUGCAAGAUAAACCCUUGUCUGCUGCCUUGGGCUACAUCUGAUGAUUGCCUGCAAUAUUUCUGCCUCUAGAAAUGAACUGUCAAACCAAGAAGUAUGUCCUUGGAAUGCAUCCUCCACUUUAGCAAAAGAAUUAUGUGUUUUGUUUGCUCUUCAUCAUGUAACUCUUGAAUAAAUUUGGAUGCAACAGAUUAAGGGCAUAACCAGGAAAUAUUUCUUGUGAUAUAACUGAUAUCUGGGUUUGUUCACUUAAUCAUUCAUUUGACAAACAUGUGAUGAGGGCUCACCAUGAGCCGGAUACCUUGCUAGGCAUUGGGUGGGUAUACAAUGGAGAACAAAGCAGACAUGUUCUCUGCCCUCAUAGAGGUUGUAAGCUAAUGGGAGAGACAGAUAUUAAACCAAUAACCAAUAAUCACACAAACAAGAAAUUUAUGCAUUUAGAUAACUGCAUGAAAUGAAAGUCCUGAGUCCUAUUAGAAAGUGUAACAGGGAUUUCUAACCUCUAUGAAGAGACACAGGAGAGCUUGACUCAACUUGAGAGACUGAAAAGGACCGUGUAGCCAGCGAAGUGCAUGAGGGGCAGUUCUGCAGGAAAAAGGGCUGGAGAGACAGGCAGGGGCAGAACACAGAUGCCUUGCAUCCCUGUUAAGGAUUUUGUAUUUUAUCCCAAGUGAGAUGAACAACACUGAAGGCAGUGACAUGGAGCAGGAGAGUGACAUAAUCUAGAUUCUGUUUUUAAAAUUAUAUCUUUGUCUAUUGUGUAGCAAAUGGAUCAGAGAGGCCAAUAGUAGAAACAGCGAGACCAGUUAGUGGGUGUUGCAGAAAUCCAGGUGAGAGUUUCUGGGGCUGUUUGGAUUCAGGUGAUGGUGUAGAGUGAAGAGAGUGGAAGAAAGUGGACAUAUUCUUUUAGGCAGAAUCUGGAAGGCAAGGGGAAGGAUUGGUUAUGUGUAUGUUGGCAGGCAGGAGGGAGUGAGGAAGCUGUCCAGGAGAACCACUAGCUUACUGACUUGGGCCAUUUGACUGACUGGGGAGGGACAAUGGGACCUGGGAGUUUUUUUUUGUUUGUUUGUUUUGUUUUGUUUUGUUUUGUUUUAGAUGGAGUCUCGCUCUGUCACCCAGGCUGGAGUGCUGCGGUGCGAUCUCGGCUCACUGCAAGCUCCGCCUCCUUGGUUCACGG
RNAcentral lists this long non-coding RNA (4428 nucleotides) under Homo sapiens (human). Its description in RNAcentral is "HSALNT0199292". The record is from RNAcentral. Lineage: Eukaryota; Metazoa; Chordata; Mammalia; Primates; Hominidae.